UGGGGCAGUAGCUCAGUGGUUAGAGCCGCGGACUCAUAACCCGUUGGUCACAGGUUCGAAUCCUGUCUGCCCCAU
This 75-nucleotide transfer RNA is filed under the name Chlamydia avium. RNAcentral's name for it is "tRNA-Met(cat)". It matches the Rfam family "tRNA". From Rfam's summary of the family: Transfer RNA (tRNA) molecules are approximately 80 nucleotides in length. The record is from RNAcentral. Lineage: Bacteria; Pseudomonadati; Chlamydiota; Chlamydiia; Chlamydiales; Chlamydiaceae.